RNAcentral lists this ribosomal RNA (790 nucleotides) under Virgibacillus halodenitrificans. RNAcentral describes it as "bacterial SSU rRNA". It matches the Rfam family "Bacterial small subunit ribosomal RNA", at positions 88 to 864 of the family's 1533-position model. Lineage: Bacteria; Bacillati; Bacillota; Bacilli; Caryophanales; Bacillaceae. The record is from RNAcentral.
GGAACGAGCGGCGGACGGGUGAGUAACACGUGGGCAACCUGCCUGUAAGACUGGGAUAACCCCGGGAAACCGGGGCUAAUACCGGAUAAUACUUUUCAUCACGUGAUGAGAAGUUGAAAGGUGGCUUUUAGCUACCACUUACAGAUGGGCCCGCGGCGCAUUAGCUAGUUGGUGAGGUAACGGCUCACCAAGGCAACGAUGCGUAGCCGACCUGAGAGGGUGAUCGGCCACACUGGGACUGAGACACGGCCCAGACUCCUACGGGAGGCAGCAGUAGGGAAUCUUCCGCAAUGGACGAAAGUCUGACGGAGCAACGCCGCGUGAGUGAUGAAGGUUUUCGGAUCGUAAAGCUCUGUUGUUAGGGAAGAACAAGUGCCGUUCGAAUAGGGCGGCACCUUGACGGUACCUAACCAGAAAGCCCCGGCUAACUACGUGCCAGCAGCCGCGGUAAUACGUAGGGGGCAAGCGUUGUCCGGAAUUAUUGGGCGUAAAGCGCGCGCAGGCGGUCCUUUAAGUCUGAUGUGAAAGCCCACGGCUCAACCGUGGAGGGUCAUUGGAAACUGGAGGACUUGAGUACAGAAGAGGAGAGUGGAAUUCCACGUGUAGCGGUGAAAUGCGUAGAGAUGUGGAGGAACACCAGUGGCGAAGGCGACUCUCUGGUCUGUAACUGACGCUGAGGCGCGAAAGCGUGGGGAGCGAACAGGAUUAGAUACCCUGGUAGUCCACGCCGUAAACGAUGAGUGCUAGGUGUUAGGGGGUUCCGCCCCUUAGUGCUGAAGUAACGCAUAAG